Long non-coding RNA from Gadus morhua (Atlantic cod), 363 nucleotides. RefSeq lists it as uncharacterized. The transcript has 3 exons. NCBI's taxonomy places the organism in Eukaryota, Metazoa, Chordata, Actinopteri, Gadiformes, Gadidae. The record is from RefSeq and is a predicted model, not a curated record.
UCCACGUGGUCCUCGGAGUCAAGUGGGUUCACGUCAAACAGCUGCUGACAGGAAGGGGAGGAGAUGAUGGGCACCCUCACCUGCUGCAGAACCCCCAGCCCAGGGAGGGCCACUGAGGGGCGGGGGGGGCAGUGAAAGAAAGCCUCAUCUCCAUUGGGCUACAAGUGGUGCUGAGGAUAACCUACGUUGCUAGGGCGUUGCUAAGGUUACACCUUCAUGCUGGUUGGGUCUACAGAUGGGAACGUUUCCAGUCAUUAGUCAAAGUCCAUGAGCCCAGCUGUGAGCCCGACCUGCCGACUCUGCUCUUACUUGGGGAAGCAGUGAGCUGCGGACAGAACCCAGGACUCGGAGAUCAGAGAGCCG